CAGUAGCCGCGGUAAUACGAAGGGGGCUAGCGUUGCUCGGAAUUACUGGGCGUAAAGGGAGCGUAGGCGGACAUUUAAGUCAGGGGUGAAAUCCCAGAGCUCAACUCUGGAACUGCCUUUGAUACUGGGUGUCUUAAGUGUGAUAGAGGUAUGUGGAACUCCGAGUGUAGAGGUGAAAUUCGUAGAUAUUCGGAAGAACACCAGUGGCGAAGGCGACAUACUGGAUCAUUACUGACGCUGAGGCUCGAAAGCGUGGGGAGCAAACAGGAUUAGAUACCCCUGUAGUCCCUGUCUCUUAUAC
Molecule: ribosomal RNA, 301 nt
Filed under: uncultured bacterium
Lineage: Bacteria
Description: partial 16S ribosomal RNA
Rfam family: Bacterial small subunit ribosomal RNA
Source: RNAcentral